GACGAACGCUGGCGGCGUGCCUAAUACAUGCAAGUAGAACGCUGAAGAGAGGAGCUUGCUCUUCUUGGAUGAGUUGCGAACGGGUGAGUAACGCGUAGGUAACCUGCCUUGUAGCGGGGGAUAACUAUUGGAAACGAUAGCUAAUACCGCAUAACAAUGGAUGACACAUGUCAUUUAUUUGAAAGGGGCAAUUGCUCCACUACAAGAUGGACCUGCGUUGUAUUAGCUAGUAGGUGAGGUAAUGGCUCACCUAGGCGACGAUACAUAGCCGACCUGAGAGGGUGAUCGGCCACACUGGGACUGAGACACGGCCCAGACUCCUACGGGAGGCAGCAGUAGGGAAUCUUCGGCAAUGGGGGCAACCCUGACCGAGCAACGCCGCGUGAGUGAAGAAGGUUGUCGGAUCGUAAAGCUCUGUUGUAAGUCAAGAACGGGUGUGAGAGUGGAAAGUUCACACUGUGACGGUAGCUUACCAGAAAGGGACGGCUAACGACGUG
This 497-nucleotide ribosomal RNA is filed under the name uncultured bacterium. RNAcentral's name for it is "partial 16S ribosomal RNA". It matches the Rfam family "Bacterial small subunit ribosomal RNA", at positions 28 to 507 of the family's 1533-position model. The record is from RNAcentral.